GCGAAUCGCCCUUCGGGGUGCACCAGGCGCGAAAACUUUACAAUGCGGGAAACCGUGAUAAGGGGACACCGAGUGCCAGCAUCAUAUGCUGGCUGUCCAGGUGUGUAAAAUACACCUGUUAGCAAGGGCCGGGCAAGACCGGUGCCAGCCGCCGCGGUAACACCGGCGGCCCGAGUGGUGAUCGUGAUUAUUGGGUCUAAAGGGUCCGUAGCCGGUUUGGUCAGUCCUCCGGGAAAUCUGACGGCUCAACCGUUAGGCUUUCGGGGGAUACUGCCAGGCUUGGAACCGGGAGAGGUAAGAGGUACUACAGGGGUAGGAGUGAAAUCUUGUAAUCCCUGUGAGACCACCUGUGGCGAAGGCGUCUUACCAGAACGGGUUCGACGGUGAGGGACGAAAGCUGGGGGCACGAACCGGAUUAGAUACCCGGGUAGUCCCAGCCGUAAACGAUGCUCGCUAGGUGUCAGGCAUGGCGCGACCGUGUCUGGUGCCGCAGGGAAGCCGUGAAGCGAGCCACCUGGGAAGUACGGCCGCAAGGCUGAAACUUAAAGGAAUUGGCGGGGGAGCAC
RNAcentral lists this ribosomal RNA (566 nucleotides) under uncultured archaeon. Its description in RNAcentral is "bacterial SSU rRNA". It matches the Rfam family "Archaeal small subunit ribosomal RNA", at positions 313 to 879 of the family's 1478-position model. The record is from RNAcentral.